ACGGUUUCUGCGACGCAGCUAACGCAUUAAGUGCCCCGCCUGGGGAGUACGGUCGCAAGACUAAAACUCAAAGGAAUUGACGGGGGCCCGCACAAGCAGCGGAGCAUGCGGCUUAAUUCGACGCAACGCGAAGAACCUUACCAAGGCUUGACAUAUAGCGAAAAGUGGCAGAGAUGUCAUGUCCGCAAGGGCGCUAUACAGGUGGUGCAUGGUUGUCGUCAGCUCGUGUCGUGAGAUGUUGGGUUAAGUCCCGCAACGAGCGCAACCCUCGUUCUGUGUUGCCAGCAUUUAGUUGGGGACUCACAGGAGACUGCCGGGGUCAACUCGGAGGAAGGUGGGGAUGACGUCAAAUCAUCAUGCCCCUUAUGUCUUGGGCUGCACGCAUGCUACAAUGGCUGGUACAAAGGGCUGCGAAACCGUAAGGUGGAGCGAAUCCCAAAAAGCCAGUCUCAGUUCGGAUUGGGGUCUGCAACUCGACCCCAUGAAGUCGGAGUUGCUAGUAAUCGCAGAUCAGCAACGCUGCGGUGAAUACGUUCCCGGGCCUUGUACACACCGCCCGUCACAUCACGAAAGUCGGUAACACCCAAAG
RNAcentral lists this ribosomal RNA (589 nucleotides) under uncultured Actinomycetes bacterium. RNAcentral describes it as "bacterial SSU rRNA". It matches the Rfam family "Bacterial small subunit ribosomal RNA", at positions 834 to 1426 of the family's 1533-position model. The record is from RNAcentral. Lineage: Bacteria; Bacillati; Actinomycetota; Actinomycetes.